UUGUCUAUUUUUGAGAAGAAAAUCUGAGAAAGAAGGGUUUUGAAAGUAGAAGAAGCUGGACGGAAGGUGACGCUGUCUAAAUACUCUCCGACCAACGGGUUAGGCGUCUUGAAGACACUCUUCUCCGGCUAGCGGCUCGCUAGCGUGCCUCAUUCCAGGUAUUGUGUUGGGUCCAUGGCUGAUUCAGCUUCGACGAAUGCGAAUGUGAUUCAGUUGGUAGAGGAUGUUGUGCGUAACUACCGAUUUGAUACUAUUUGUGUAAUACUAAUUGCACUUCGCUCACAGUCAAAGGAUUCCCCCUGCCAGGGUUAGUGGAUGGUGGACCAGAACCAAAUUCACCUGGAAUGUUGCCCGUAUCUCGACCCUCAUCACCGGUGGCUCGGUCCUUUCCAAACACAAUCUUCCAGUCAUUGUAGAGCGGCCAUGUCUUAUUACGUAGUAAGCGAGCACUAUUGUCAGCUUGUCAAAAGGAUAAAUAAAUUAGCAACAGGGGAUGAGUGAGUGUAGGGACUAGUGAAAGAGCUCCAUAUGCUUUCUUCCAAAUGUGGAUCUUGGAUUGGAUAUGUGGAUCAGCUCUCAAAUCGCUCCGAGGGAACUCCUGACGCAAUGAAUCUUCGCACUUCUGAAGGUAACCGUGUAUAAAACCGUUGUCGGACUUCCAGCCUGUCGCGACCAGUUCCUUCAGUGUGGCGAGUAAAUAUGCCUCCUCUCGGUCGGUCCAACUGCGGCGUGUGCGGUCAGUUUUGUUCUUUUUCCGUCCUACACCGUCAACAAAAGCUAUAACUAGGAUGCACAAGGUAAACGGUACACAACAUCGCCCAACAUACCUCAUUUUGUACACAAAACAUACAUGGAUGUGAAGAAAAUAUACUCACCUUGGU
Non-coding RNA from Salvia hispanica, 881 nucleotides. The record is from RefSeq and is a predicted model, not a curated record. NCBI's taxonomy places the organism in Eukaryota, Viridiplantae, Streptophyta, Magnoliopsida, Lamiales, Lamiaceae.